This 473-nucleotide ribosomal RNA is filed under the name uncultured organism. RNAcentral's name for it is "partial 16S ribosomal RNA". It matches the Rfam family "Bacterial small subunit ribosomal RNA", at positions 335 to 799 of the family's 1533-position model. The record is from RNAcentral.
ACUCCUGCGGGAGGCAGCAGUGGGGAAUUUUGGACAAUGGGCGAAAGCCUGAUCCAGCAAUGCCGCGUGAGUGAAGAAGGCCUUCGGGUUGUAAAGCUCUUUUGUCAGGGAAGAAACGGUGAAAGCUAAUAUCUUUUGCUAAUGACGGUACCUGAAGAAUAAGCACCGGCUAACUACGUGCCAGCAGCCGCGGUAAUACGUAGGGUGCAAGCGUUAAUCGGAAUUACUGGGCGUAAAGCGUGCGCAGGCGGUUUUGUAAGUCUGAUGUGAAAUCCCCGGGCUCAACCUGGGAAUUGCAUUGGAGACUGCAAGGCUAGAAUCUGGCAGAGGGGGGUAGAAUUCCACGUGUAGCAGUGAAAUGCGUAGAUAUGUGGAGGAACACCGAUGGCGAAGGCAGCCCCCUGGGUCAAGAUUGACGCUCAUGCACGAAAGCGUGGGGAGCAAACAGGAUUAGAAACCCUUGUAGUCCCAUG